AAUAAGCAUCGGCUAACUUCGUGCCAGCAGCCGCGGUAAUACGAAGGAUGCAAGCGUUAUCCGGAUUUAUUGGGUUUAAAGGGUGCGUAGGCGGACUUAUAAGUCAGUGGUGAAAUCUCGUUGCUUAACAACGAACGUGCCAUUGAUACUGUAGGUCUUGAGUACAGAUGCCGUUGGCGGAAUGUGUCAUGUAGCGGUGAAAUGCAUAGAUAUGACACAGAACACCGAUUGCGAAGGCAGCUGACNAAACUGUAACUGAC
This 260-nucleotide ribosomal RNA is filed under the name uncultured bacterium. Its description in RNAcentral is "partial 16S ribosomal RNA". It matches the Rfam family "Bacterial small subunit ribosomal RNA", at positions 485 to 744 of the family's 1533-position model. The record is from RNAcentral.